UACGUAGGGUGCAAGCGUUGUCCGGAAUUAUUGGGCGUAAAGAGCUCGUAGGCGGUUUGUCGCGUCUGCUGUGAAAACUCGGGGCUUAACCCCGGGCCUGCAGUGGGUACGGGCAGACUAGAGUGCGGUAGGGGAGACUGGAAUUCCUGGUGUAGCGGUGAAAUGCGCAGAUAUCAGGAGGAACACCGGUGGCGAAGGCGGGUCUCUGGGACGGUACUGACGCUGAGACGCGAAAGCGCGGGGAGCGAACAGG
RNAcentral lists this ribosomal RNA (253 nucleotides) under uncultured bacterium. RNAcentral's name for it is "partial 16S ribosomal RNA". It matches the Rfam family "Bacterial small subunit ribosomal RNA", at positions 524 to 776 of the family's 1533-position model. The record is from RNAcentral.